GACGAACGCUGGCGGCGUGCUUAACACAUGCAAGUCGAACGGAAAGGCCCUGCUUUUGUGGGGUGCUCGAGUGGCGAACGGGUGAGUAACACGUGAGUAACCUGCCCUUGACUUUGGGAUAACUUCAGGAAACUGGGGCUAAUACCGGAUAGGAGCUCCUGCUGCAUGGUGGGGGUUGGAAAGUUUCGGCGGUUGGGGAUGGACUCGCGGCUUAUCAGCUUGUUGGUAGGGUAGUGGCUUACCAAGGCUUUGACGGGUAGCCGGCCUGAGAGGGUGACCGGCCACAUGGGGACUGAGAUACGGCCCAGACUCCUACGGGGGGCAGCAGUGGGGAAUAUUGCACAAUGGGCGGAAGCCUGAUGCAGCAACGCCGCGUGCGGGAUGACGGCCUUCGGGUUGUAAACCGCUUUCGCCUGUGACGAAGCGUGAGUGACGGUAAUGGGUAAAGAAGCACCGGCUAACUACGUG
This 468-nucleotide ribosomal RNA is filed under the name uncultured bacterium. RNAcentral describes it as "partial 16S ribosomal RNA". It matches the Rfam family "Bacterial small subunit ribosomal RNA", at positions 28 to 507 of the family's 1533-position model. The record is from RNAcentral.